RNAcentral lists this ribosomal RNA (497 nucleotides) under uncultured bacterium. RNAcentral describes it as "partial 16S ribosomal RNA". It matches the Rfam family "Bacterial small subunit ribosomal RNA", at positions 28 to 507 of the family's 1533-position model. The record is from RNAcentral.
GACGAACGCUGGCGGCGUGCCUAAUACAUGCAAGUUGAGCGAUGAAGAUUGGUGCUUGCACCAAUUUGAAGAGCAGCGAACGGGUGAGUAACGCGUGGGGAAUCUGCCUUUGAGCGGGGGACAACAUUUGGAAACGAAUGCUAAUACCGCAUAACAACUUUAAACUUAAGUUUUAAGUUUGAAAGAUGCAAUUGCAUCACUCAAAGAUGAUCCCGCGUUGUAUUAGCUAGUUGGUGAGGUAAAGGCUCACCAAGGCGAUGAUACAUAGCCGACCUGAGAGGGUGAUCGGCCACAUUGGGACUGAGACACGGCCCAAACUCCUACGGGAGGCAGCAGUAGGGAAUCUUCGGCAAUAGACGAAAGUCUGACCGAGCAACGCCGCGUGAGUGAAGAAGGUUUUCGGAUCGUAAAACUCUGUUGGUAGAGAAGAACGUUGGUGAGAGCGGAAAGCUCAUCAAGUGACGGUAACUACCCAGAAAGGGACGGCUAACUACGUG